GGCAGUGGUGUGAAGGAGGAAAGGAAGUGGGAGUGAGCAGCUGAAGCAGGAAGACCAAUAAAAAGACUGCUGAAAUGGUCUGUGUGAAGAUGCUGCGAGCUGGAAAGAGGUCAGAGCAGCCAGGCAGGAAGCAGAGGAAUGGUGGCAUACAAUUUCCAAGACUGGUACCUGAGUUGGAGAAGCAGGGGAGAAGUUCAGGAAGAACUGGAACAGAAGAGAAGGAGCCAUUAAUUGCUUUUUCAAGAUAUGUCUGAAGCGAGGACAAAAGCAAAGAACUUCAUUUGGGAAUUUGGUGUAGUGAUAAAGGAGGGAAGAGAGAAAGCAGAAGUGCCCAGUGGCUUUUUCCUUCUGUGCUAUUCAACAAGGCAGCCCAGUGUUCAACCCUAAAGAAGGUAAAACAAACAACGCAAAGAGGGAAUUUCAGUUUCAGAUAGGCUCUUGCCUAUUGAGCUAGUGAGAGACAGCCUAGUCACUUCAAGUGGCCUCAAGAAUCCAGGCCAGUAUGAAUUGGAUUACAGGGCCUCAAGGAAUUUCAGAAUCACUAACAGUCAUCUUUGAGAGAUUAUGAGAAGCAGAAAAAUAAUAAUGGAAGACUGAGGAGAGUAAGGGAUUGUCAGAGAAAGUAAUAUUUGCUCUUUGCUGCUACAGAGAACCAAAGCAAAACCAAUGAAUUUCAGUUAUAAAUAGAUAUGAGUGUCAAUGAAAGGAGGGAAGUUAUAUGUGGAAUCUUAAAAAGGUGGUGGGGGGCGGGUGUACAAAUGAACUUAUUUGCAAAACAGAAAUAGAGUUACAGAUGUAGUAAACAAAC
RNAcentral lists this long non-coding RNA (808 nucleotides) under Bos indicus x Bos taurus (hybrid cattle). Its description in RNAcentral is "lncRNA (ENSBIXG00000020658.1)". The record is from RNAcentral. Lineage: Eukaryota; Metazoa; Chordata; Mammalia; Artiodactyla; Bovidae.